AUUGAACGCUGGCGGCAGGCCUAACACAUGCAAGUCGAACGGUAACAGGAAGAAGCUUGCUUCUUUGCUGACGAGUGGCGGACGGGUGAGUAAUGUCUGGGAAACUGCCUGAUGGAGGGGGAUAACUACUGGAAACGGUAGCUAAUACCGCAUAACGUCGCAAGACCAAAGAGGGGGACCUUCGGGCCCCUUGCCAUCGGAUGUGCCCAGAUGGGAUUAGCUAGUAGGUGGGGUAACGGCUCACCUAGGCGACGAUCCCUAGCUGGUCUGAGAGGAUGACCAGCCACACUGGAACUGAGACACGGUCCAGACUCCUACGGGAGGCAGCAGUGGGGAAUAUUGCACAAUGGGCGCAAGCCUGAUGCAGCCAUGCCGCGUGUAUGAAGAAGGCCUUCGGGUUGUAAAGUACUUUCAGCGGGGAGGAAGGGAGUAAAGUUAAUACCUUGGCUCAUUGACGUUACCCGCAGAAGAAGCACCGGCUAACUCCGUG
RNAcentral lists this ribosomal RNA (490 nucleotides) under uncultured bacterium. RNAcentral describes it as "partial 16S ribosomal RNA". It matches the Rfam family "Bacterial small subunit ribosomal RNA", at positions 30 to 507 of the family's 1533-position model. The record is from RNAcentral.